Molecule: ribosomal RNA, 406 nt
Filed under: uncultured bacterium
Lineage: Bacteria
Description: partial 16S ribosomal RNA
Rfam family: Bacterial small subunit ribosomal RNA
Source: RNAcentral
AUUGAACGCUGGCGGCAGGCCUAACACAUGCAAGUCGAACGAGUGGCGGACGGGUGAGUAAUGUCUGGGAAACUGCCUGCUGGCGGGGGAUAACUACUGGAAACGGUAGAUAAUACCGCAUACCAUCAGAUGUGCCCAGAUGGGAUUAGCUUGGUGGUGGGGUAACGGCGCACCAAGGCGACGAUCCCUAGCUGGUCUGAGAGGAUGACCAGCAACACUGGAACGGAGACACGGUCCAGAAUCAGAAGGGAGGCAGCAGGGGGGAAUAUUGCACAAUGGGCGCAAGCCUGAUGCAGCCAUGCCGCGGGUAUGAAGAAGGCCAUCGGGUGGUAAAGUACUUUCAGCGGGGAGGCGUUACCCGCAGAAGAAGCACCGGCUAACUCCGUGCCAGCAGCCGCGGUAAUAC